GACGAACGCUGGCGGCGUGCCUAAUACAUGCAAGUCGAGCGAGCUUGCCUAGAUGAUUUUAGUGCUUGCACUAAAUGAAACUAGAUACAGGCGAGCGGCGGACGGGUGAGUAACACGUGGGUAACCUGCCCAAGAGACUGGGAUAACACCUGGAAACAGAUGCUAAUACCGGAUAACAACACUAGACGCAUGUCUAGAGUUUGAAAGAUGGUUCUGCUAUCACUCUUGGAUGGACCUGCGGUGCAUUAGCCAGUUGGUAAGGUAACGGCUUACCAAGGCAAUGAUGCAUAGCCGAGUUGAGGGACUGAUCGGCACAUUGGGACUGAGACACGGCCCAAACUCCUACGGGAGGCAGCAGUAGGGAAUCUUCCACAAUGGACGAAAGUCUGAUGGAGCAACGCCGCGUGAGUGAAGAAGGGUUUUCGGCUCG
Molecule: ribosomal RNA, 430 nt
Filed under: uncultured Lactobacillus sp.
Lineage: Bacteria; Bacillati; Bacillota; Bacilli; Lactobacillales; Lactobacillaceae
Description: bacterial SSU rRNA
Rfam family: Bacterial small subunit ribosomal RNA
Source: RNAcentral